This 563-nucleotide long non-coding RNA is filed under the name Bos taurus (domestic cattle). RNAcentral describes it as "long non-coding RNA NONBTAT015147". Lineage: Eukaryota; Metazoa; Chordata; Mammalia; Artiodactyla; Bovidae. The record is from RNAcentral.
UAUAGAAAUCAGUGUACUGCUCUAUAAAUCCUUUUUGCCAUUAAUUUAUGGUAAUGAGAUUUCUUUUGUUUGUGAACUCAGUUUUGUAGAGAAAUUCAUUUUUCAGUUCUGUCACCUCAAAAGUCUCUAGAACAAGUCAGACAGACUGACAGAAUUACAUGGCAAUUUAAAUGUUUUCUUUUGAUGCAUUAUUUGUAUCAUAUUCUUGGUGUGUUUUUUCCUGAGACAAAUUUCUAACUGACCAAAUUAUCACAAAUAUUAUAAAUGCAUGACUUGAAAAGAAUCUAAUUUUUCUUCUUUCUGCUCUUCUGUCAGAGAGUUGUUGUUUUAAUGUGUUUACCUGAAAAUGAUGAUGUAUAUAUGCCACCAUGUAUAGCUUUUAAGGGAAUGUCCAAAACAAGUUUUCAGUUUAAAAUUACGUAUAUUGUGAACUAAGGCAUAAUAUCUAUUUUUCUAAUGCACCAUGAUGUCAGUGGGAUUUGCCAGUCAUUGCCAGAUGCAUGAAUAAAAUCUAAUGAAGGUUUUUUGUCUGUAAAACGCCUUUGAAUAAAAUCUCUACUGAC